Long non-coding RNA from Serinus canaria (Common canary), 610 nucleotides. RefSeq lists it as uncharacterized. NCBI's taxonomy places the organism in Eukaryota, Metazoa, Chordata, Aves, Passeriformes, Fringillidae. The record is from RefSeq and is a predicted model, not a curated record. The transcript is spliced from 3 exons.
UCACCAUGGUAGAAAAGAAGCCAGCCAUCCUAUUUUAUCAACAAUAGUCCCUCUGUGUUUUAUACUGGACAUGAAAAGCAGCAUCUUAUAAAAAGGGAUUAUAAAAGCAACAUCUCUGUCUUGGAGACAGGCUGUUUUAUUGGAAAGAAAUGUCACUGGAGGGGUAUUCACAAACUGGGGUGCAUCUUUCUAAUCAGAAUUUCAGAUUUAUAUAUCACCCUUCUGUUCUGCUGUCUGGUAAAUGAAUGUUAACCACACCAACACGUUAAAAAGAUGGAAUUAUAUUUAGCCUGCAUUCUAAUAACAGCAAUUCUUUCUGCUAAGUUUGAAUAAAUAUCACUGUUGUAUCACUGCAGAAGAUGAAAGUUCAGGCUUACAAACUCCAGGAUAUCUGGGAUCAGCUCCAGCUCCUGUUAAGGUAGGGAGGUUCUGUGUCCUCUCAGGAAAGACAAAGCAUGGCUAAAUGGUGGAAGAUGGUGAGAGUACUUUUUUUUUCAGCUUUCUGCCGAGCCCUCCCAGCGCAGCGGUUCUCCCCUGGAGGUUACAGCCUCUCCGAGGCUCUCGGGGCUGGAACUGCCCUCUCUCUCUGCAGCCUGCGAACCCAAAAUGU